AUACGGGGGGGGCAAGCGUUGUCCGGAAUCAUUGGGCGUAAAGGGCGAGUAGGCGGGAUGGUAAGUUAGAGGUGAAAGUUCGGAGCUUAACUCCGAAUCUGCCUCUAAUACUGCCGUCCUUGAGUGUGAGAGAGGGAAGUGGAAUUCCCGGUGUAGCGGUGAAAUGCGUAGAUAUCGGGAAGAACACCAGUGGCGUAGGCGGCUUCCUGGCUCACAACUGACGCUGAAUCGCGAAAGCGUGGGGAGCAAACAGGAUUAGAAACCCUAGUAGUCC
RNAcentral lists this ribosomal RNA (274 nucleotides) under uncultured bacterium. RNAcentral's name for it is "partial 16S ribosomal RNA". It matches the Rfam family "Bacterial small subunit ribosomal RNA", at positions 523 to 796 of the family's 1533-position model. The record is from RNAcentral.